GACAAACACACAAGAUUGUUUUUUUUUUUAAACAAAACACAAGAUUGUUGAGCAUUAAAAACACAAGUAGGUAUAGUUUGUCCGUUUAGUUAUCUCAAUAAUUCACUUUAACAUCAUGCUCUUAAAUCCAAUAACGACCACUGCUACACGAUCCGCUUGGGACGUGAAACGAGCGUGACAAUUCCAUUUGUAGAAUAAAAUAAUAAUCCAAUUAUAACAAAUUAUUAUUAAUUUGUUUCCACUACCUAAUUGUUAAAAGAUUUAUAAAUUAAGAUACUAAAUUUUCAAUACAUUUCAUUAGUUAGCUUGAGUUUCGGUUUAGCAUUUUGAAGCAAAAUUUCGUUAUUAAAACGAAAAUAUUAAUGUCUUCAAAUGAUCAACACCUUAUUAAUACAGCUGCUAACUCUCUAGUUUUCUUUAACUUUGUUUUUCUCUAGAGUCGAUCAAAAUAAUUCUUGAUGAUGGGCAUGCUUUUAUAAAGUUACAUGUAAAUUCUUUUUUCCAUUUUCUGAUUUACUUAUGUGGUAGGUAGUGUAAACUUAUGGUGAAUUAAUCACUGUUUAAUUAUAGUUUAUAUCCACUCCGCUUUAAACUUUAGUACGUACAACCCAAAUGUCAGAACACAGUCCACAUGAUUUUGUCUGACGUAUAAAAUAAAAAUGAUAGCCCACCUGAUUUAAUUACAUCUUCUUUUGCUACGAGAUAAUCUUUUUUGCUAGAAAAAAUGUUCUUUUGAAGAACAGACAUAUAAAUGUUCUUAGUUUACAAAAAAAAGACAUAUAAAUGUUCUUUCGAAUAAUUAUAAAAUCACGGAAAAGUAAACAAAUUGUAUUGAAUUAUUCAUACCAUCAUAAUACAGGAAUUGAUUGAUUGACUCAUAUAAUCGACCGGUUGGAUCUCUUUAAUGAUUUUAGAAUAUUUGAAAUAUUUUUAUAUAAGAAAAUAAAUUCUAAAUAAUGCAAAUUGUUUUUAAAAGGCACAAAAAGGAUAAAUAAUUCAGUUACAAAAAAGGAUAAAUAAUAAUCAAAUAAUUAAAUAUUGAGAGGUCGCAAAACAAGAUCUGACAGAGAUAGAUGAAGAAUGGGUUGUCAUGUUCACCAACACAAGUCCCACUUCUGAGAGAGAUCUCUAGUCUCUAACUAACUACUUACAACCAAUCAACAGCUCACUGACAAUUCCCUAACUUUUAAUCAUCAUUUCCAAAAGAAAAGCUGAAAAAAUUCAUAGCCUUUCAACUUUCAAUAUACACACAUUGUUGUCGACGAUUAUACAUUUGAUUUUAGUUUGGUCUUACAGAUAUUAAAACUAAACAAUACAGUUUGUAUGUGAAAGAUGACAAGGGCUUAUUAGUGACUGGGUCAAGAACCCUACUCAACAUCACAUUCUUAAAAGAUAUUUUUAAUGUUACACAAAUAGUUCGUGAUUGAAUAAUUAAAACAAGAAGCCAAUGUAUGGCACAUUCAACUUCCCCAUGAGCAUAGAUGAGAGAGUGUCUGAUGCAAAAAUCACUCAAUCAUUGCUUCUCCUUCGACUUCUCUCUAAUGGCUCUUCUUUCCUCUUCCCUGCAUAUGUGUUCAUUCAAAGCAUUGUCAAGUCAAAAAAAUAUAAGACAGCCCAAAGGAUUUCCUUCUUUCAGUUCAUGGUUUUUGAUGAGGAGGCUUCUCCAUCUCUUCAAUAGCAUCAGGCCCUCAGCUUCAUCAUCAUCAUCUUCCUCUACAGUUUCCUGUAGGUUAAUGUAUUUCGGUUAUACAGCUACUAGAGUAACCACAAAGAAUCCGUUUCCAUGUUGUGUACAUGAGGGUAAAAACGUUUAGUCUUCUUUAAAGAUAGAUGGAAUCGGUGUUCUCUAAACUUUGUAAAUCUGAUAAAACCAAGACAAAGAUUUGGAGACGUUAAAGACAGUAUCAUUGUGAUGUUCAUUUACAUAUCCCAACAGAUAGAACUGUGUACAUUACCCGUCUUGGCCAAAAUCGAGUCCAGUUUUAACAAGUUGAACAUAAUCAAUGACAGAUUCACCAACGAGCUGUUGGUCCAUGGUAAAGAAGUUUCUGGUAGGCACUCCGCCACUUGGAUUCAAUUCUCGUUGGGAUUACCUAUUUAUAUUGUUUGGAUUCCCGAAAAAGAGGAGAAACCAUUUCUUUUUACCAAACAAAAUGACAGCUUUGUUCUGCGCAAUUUUUUCAUACAAAAGGAAAAAUUAAGGAUGCA
Molecule: long non-coding RNA, 2208 nt
Organism: Brassica napus (rape)
Lineage: Eukaryota; Viridiplantae; Streptophyta; Magnoliopsida; Brassicales; Brassicaceae
Exons: 2
Source: RefSeq, a predicted model, not a curated record